This 252-nucleotide ribosomal RNA is filed under the name uncultured bacterium. Its description in RNAcentral is "partial 16S ribosomal RNA". It matches the Rfam family "Bacterial small subunit ribosomal RNA", at positions 525 to 776 of the family's 1533-position model. The record is from RNAcentral.
ACGGAGGAUCCAAGCGUUAUCCGGAUUCAUUGGGUUUAAAGGGUCCGUAGGCGGGUCUUUAAGUCAGUGGUGAAAGCCGACAGCUCAACUGUCGAACUGCCAUUGAUACUGGAGACCUUGAGUACAAAUGAAGUAGGCGGAAUGAGUCAUGUAGCGGUGAAAUGCAUAGAUAUGACUCAGAACACCGAUUGCGAAGGCAGCUUACUAACAUGUAACUGACGCUGAGGGACGAAAGCGUGGGGAGCGAACAGG